GACCAUCCUGUUGGCCUAGUGGUUAGAGCAACUGACUCAGAUGCUGGAGGUUGUGGGUUAGAAACCCAGCCAAGUCA
Non-coding RNA from Potamilus streckersoni, 77 nucleotides. Lineage: Eukaryota; Metazoa; Mollusca; Bivalvia; Unionida; Unionidae. The record is from the annotation of a GenBank genome assembly.